AGAGUUUGAUCCUGGCUCAGGACGAACGCGGGCGGCGUGCUUAACACAUGCAAGUCGAACGGAGGAUACAUUGAAACGCAAGUCGAUAUGUAACUUUAGUGGCGGACGGGUGAGUAACGCGUGGAUAACCUGCCUAUCUGACCGGGACAACACCUGGAAACGGGUGCUAAUACCGGAUACGCUCAUCUAGUCAAAAGAAUAGAUGAGGAAAAGGGGAAACCCGCAGACAGAUGGGUCCGCGUCCCAUUAGCUAGUUGGAGGUGUAAGAGACCCCCAAGGCGACGAUGGGUAGCCGGCCUGAGAGGGUGACCGGCCACACUGGAACUGAGACACGGUCCAGACUCCUACGGGAGGCAGCAGUGGGGAAUCUUCCGCAAUGGGCGCAAGCCUGACGCAGCGACGCCGCGUGAGCGAUGAAGGCCUUCGGGUCGUAAAGCUCUGUCCUUGGGGAAGAAGGUCUUCGGACUUGACGGUACCCAAGAAGAAAGCCCCGGCUAACUACGUGCCAGCAGCCGCGGUAAUACGUAGGGGGCGAGCGUUGUCCGGAAUUACUGGGCGUAAAGGGUGCGUAGGCGGCCCUUUAAGUCAGAUGUGAAAGCCCGCAGCUUAACUGCGGAAUUGCAUUUGAAACUGGAGGGCUUGAGUGUCGGAGAGGGUAGUGGAAUUCCCAGUGUAGCGGUGAAAUGCGUAGAUAUUGGGAGGAACACCAGUGGCGAAGGCGACUGCCUGGACGAUAACCGACGCUGAGGCACGAAAGCUAGGGGAGCAAACAGGAUUAGAUACCCUGGUAGUCCUAGCCGUAAACGAUGGGUACUAGGUGUAGGUGGUUUCGAUACCAUCUGUGCCGUAGUUAACGCAUUAAGUACCCCGCCUGGGGAGUACGUGCGCAAGCAUGAAACUCAAAUGAAUUGACGG
RNAcentral lists this ribosomal RNA (915 nucleotides) under uncultured bacterium. RNAcentral's name for it is "bacterial SSU rRNA". It matches the Rfam family "Bacterial small subunit ribosomal RNA", at positions 8 to 916 of the family's 1533-position model. The record is from RNAcentral.